This 405-nucleotide unclassified non-coding RNA is filed under the name soil metagenome. Its description in RNAcentral is "partial contains 5.8S ribosomal RNA, internal transcribed spacer 2, and large subunit ribosomal RNA". The stretch from base 1 to 121 matches the Rfam family "5.8S ribosomal RNA", at positions 35 to 154 of the family's 154-position model. The record is from RNAcentral.
GAUGAAGAACGCAGCGAAAUGCGAUAAGUAAUGUGAAUUGCAGAAUUCAGUGAAUCAUCGAAUCUUUGAACGCACCUUGCGCCCUUUGGCCAUUCCGAAGGGCAUGCCUGUUUGAGUAUCAUGAACACCUCAACUCUUUAUGGUUUUCCAUGAUGAGCUUGGACUCUGGGGGUUUUGCUGGCUCACAGUCGGCUCCUCUAAAAUGAAUCAGCUUACCAGUGGUUGGUGGGUAUCAUGGGUGUGAUAACUAUCUACGCUUGUGGUUUUUCCACCAGGUAACCUUCAGCAGUGGAGGUUCGCUGGAGCUCAUAGAUGUCUCUCCUCAGUGAGGACAGCCCUUUGAAUGUUUGAUCUCAAAUCAGGUAGGACUACCCGCUGAACUUAAGCAUAUCAAUAAGCGGAGGA